UACAGAGGGGGCAAGCGUUAAUCGGAAUUACUGGGCGUAAAGCGUGCGCAGGCGGUUAUGUAAGACAGAUGUGAAAUCCCCGGGCUCAACCUGGGAACUGCAUUUGUGACUGCAUAGCUAGAGUACGGUAGAGGGGGAUGGAAUUCCGCGUGUAGCAGUGAAAUGCGUAGAUAUGCGGAGGAACACCGAUGGCGAAGGCAAUCCCCUGGACCUGUACUGACGCUCAUGCACGAAAGCGUGGGGAGCAAACAGG
Molecule: ribosomal RNA, 253 nt
Filed under: uncultured bacterium
Lineage: Bacteria
Description: partial 16S ribosomal RNA
Rfam family: Bacterial small subunit ribosomal RNA
Source: RNAcentral